This 227-nucleotide unclassified non-coding RNA is filed under the name Hevea brasiliensis (rubber tree). Lineage: Eukaryota; Viridiplantae; Streptophyta; Magnoliopsida; Malpighiales; Euphorbiaceae. The record is from RNAcentral.
GACAAGUCAAGUGACACGGGUUCAGAAAACUCAAUGUUAGAAGCAACCUGGCUAGUUAUAUCAGAAUCAUUUCCAGAUGAUGCUUCCAUCUUCAUUCGCUUAUAAUAAUCCAAUACAACAGAGGGACCAAUUCGCAGAAUUUUGUGAUCAAAAUAACAGGAUCUAACAAUACCAAUGGACUACAUCUGCAGCACUAACGUCGUCCUGUGGUAGCAUACAUAUUUUUG